Molecule: long non-coding RNA, 1139 nt
Organism: Carlito syrichta (Philippine tarsier)
Lineage: Eukaryota; Metazoa; Chordata; Mammalia; Primates; Tarsiidae
Exons: 2
Source: RefSeq, a predicted model, not a curated record
ACCGGCCUGGGACCCAGGGCCGCGUCGGCCCAGGAUCCCGCGAUGCUGGACAUCUUCAUCCUGAUGUUCUUUGCCAUCAUCGGCCUGGUCAUCCUGUCCUGCAUCAUCUACCUGCUCUAGUGGCCUGCGCUGCGGCCGGACCCGCGGAGGACGGCGGCGAGGCGAGGAUGAAGCCGGACGCCCGGCCCAGCACCCUGCUCUCCGACGCCCGGGGGACUCUGGCCUCCUCUGGUCGUUGUUUCGGCUCCUGGUCUCCAGUCCAGCAGAGACCCCUUAUCAACAGCCGCAGUCCUGCUGCAGAACUCUUCCAGAGCCUUCCGGACACGGUUAAACCCUGGCAAGCAAGGGACUUUUUGGGCUCCAAAGUGCUUGGCUGAGACACGAGGAGUUCUUGGAUGUGGCUGGCUGAUGCUGCUUGCCUCUGAACUGUGGAGAGAGGGUGUGGAGGGUACAGACAGUUGAAAUGUAGCCUCAGGAAGGUGACCAUGGAGAACUGCUCAGAAAUUCAUCUUGACGGCCUUUCCUUGGGUCUAAAUGUAGCAGCAUGUUAUGCCCAAGUAGUUUUUCCCUUUCCUUUUCACACCCAGGGGCUCCUUGUAAGGGCGAGAGCCAUGUUCAAGUUGUCUGUCUGCACUUGUGAAGUAGGCACUUGUACACUGUCUUUAGAGAUGGUACCAUCUGGGGUUGUGUGGUUUCCCUUGUCUUGCACUCCAGCCAGGAGGAACUUGUCAUUUGAGUUUUUAAGAUUUAUCAUUUCUUCCCCACCUCAAGCCACUAGUGCCCCAGCUUCUCAUUGAAAACGAGAGAUGGUUAUAGUGUCUUCAUUCUUUGUCUCUGACUGAAUUAUAUAUUAUUAAAACAAGAUGGCCAUGCUUAAUUAGGAAAACUCUCCAAAAUGAAUGUUUUGUUUUUUAAAAUUGUCAAAUGUUCCUUUUCUGAAAAAAAAAAAAAAAAAAAAAGGUUUCAGCAUAUUUCUCUGUUCCAUUAGGGUGGAAGAAGCUACAUAUUUUGGGAUUCAGUGUAGAAUUGCCCCCCCAAAUCUGGGGUAUUUGACAGUUCAUUACAAUUGUUCUCCAUCUGAUUUUCCCUUCUAGCUUGAAAAUAAACAAGGAGAAAGACUAAAAGGUUUUUAGUAAAAA